UACAGAGGGGGCGAGCGUUGUUCGGAAUUACUGGGCGUAAAGGGCGCGUAGGCGGCCUGCUAAGUCGAACGUGAAAUCCCUGGGCUCAACCCAGGAACUGCGUCCGAUACUGGUUGGCUUGAAUCCGGGAGAGGGAUGUGGAAUUCCAGGUGUAGCGGUGAAAUGCGUAGAUAUCUGGAGGAAUACCGGUGGCGAAGGCGGCAUCCUGGACCGACAUUGACGCUGAGGAGCGAAAGCUAGGGGAGCAAACGGG
Molecule: ribosomal RNA, 253 nt
Filed under: uncultured bacterium
Lineage: Bacteria
Description: partial 16S ribosomal RNA
Rfam family: Bacterial small subunit ribosomal RNA
Source: RNAcentral